AAUAGAUACCCGGGUAGUCCAUGCCGUAAACGUUGGGAACUAGAUGUAGGGCCUGUUCCACGGGUUCUGUGUCGUAGCUAACGCAUUAAGUUCCCCGCCUGGGGAGUACGGCCGCAAGGCUAAAACUCAAAGGAAUUGACGGGGGCCCGCACAAGCGGCGGAGCAUGCGGAUUAAUUCGAUGCAACGCGAAGAACCUUACCAAGGCUUGACAUAUAGAAGAACACUGCAGAGAUGCAGGACUCUUUGGACACUUCUAUACAGGUGGUGCAUGGUUGUCGUCAGCUCGUGUCGUGAGAUGUUCGGUUAAGUCCGGCAACGAGCGCAACCCUGUCCUAUGUUGCCAGCACGUAAUGGUGGGAACUCAUGGGAUACUGCCGUGGUCAACACGGAGGAAGGUGGGGAUGACGUCAAAUCAUCAUGCCCCUUAUGUCUUGGGCUUCACGCAUGCUACAAUGGCCGGUACAAAGAGCUGCGAUACCGCGAGGUGGAGCGAAUCUCAAAAAGCCGGUCUCAGUUCGGAGUUC
RNAcentral lists this ribosomal RNA (525 nucleotides) under uncultured bacterium. RNAcentral describes it as "bacterial SSU rRNA". It matches the Rfam family "Bacterial small subunit ribosomal RNA", at positions 777 to 1301 of the family's 1533-position model. The record is from RNAcentral.